UUUGCACCUCGCUGGCUUGCGAACAGGCUUUGGGGCAUCACCCCUGUCCGGGCACGUAGUCCUCUUGUGCCCCUGCCGCCGACAUAUGCUGCAGAACCUUGUCCGUUUGCUGCGGAACCUUAAGUUGCUCAUCAUCCGCCCCGAGUCAGCACCUGAACCUCUGACAUUGCGUUCAGCACCCUGAUUGUUGCCCUCCCCAACUGCAAAACUGGCAAACCGAAUGUCAUGCACGGGACAACAGACCAGAAUGCCAUUGCAAAAUUAUAUGCUUUAUAACUUGAUGCUCAGGCUGGAUGUUCCCUAUUAGAUUAACAUACUCUUCAGUGCCAUUGCCACCUGAUGCACCUGAAGCAUGUGUGCCUGGGUGCCUACAUAGGCAUUCCAAAGUUGCAUCAAGUAGGUUUCUAACUGUCUUGCUCAACAUUUUACAAAAUAUUUGCCAGAUGUCAAAAUAAUCUCCCAAUGGUUUCAAAUGCCACGCACCUCCUGCUGCAGGACCGCCUCGACGAUUAGCUGCACAUGAAGACUCCCCUGCAGCCCUAACUGUAGUACAAGAUCAUCCAGUCAUUGUAUGUUUUUGGUAGUACAUACAUGCAGUUAGAAAUAGGCGUAUGAUGUGCAGUAAAAAAACGAAAUAGGCGAGUCAGGGUACUUAUUAUUCCAGGGAACACAUAUGCUUCACUCUGGCCACCGGCAUUGCCCCAACUGCAAAUUCUGUUCUCCCGGCUGAGUCUCCAGGAGGCACAGCUCUCCCACCUGCUG
Molecule: long non-coding RNA, 762 nt
Filed under: Triticum aestivum (bread wheat)
Lineage: Eukaryota; Viridiplantae; Streptophyta; Magnoliopsida; Poales; Poaceae
Description: long non-coding RNA (TAES_LNC010674)
Source: RNAcentral